RNAcentral lists this ribosomal RNA (499 nucleotides) under uncultured bacterium. RNAcentral describes it as "partial 16S ribosomal RNA". It matches the Rfam family "Bacterial small subunit ribosomal RNA", at positions 28 to 507 of the family's 1533-position model. The record is from RNAcentral.
GACGAACGCUGGCGGCGUGCCUAAUACAUGCAAGUCGAGCGGACUGAAUGGGAGCUUGCUCUUGUUCGGUCAGCGGCGGACGGGUGAGUAACACGUGGGCAACCUGCCCGCAAGACCGGGAUAACUCCGGGAAACCGGAGCUAAUACCGGAUAACACCGAAGACCGCAUGGUCUUUGGUUGAAAGGCGGCGCAAGCUGCCACUUGCGGAUGGGCCCGCGGCGCAUUAGCUAGUUGGUGAGGUAACGGCUCACCAAGGCGACGAUGCGUAGCCGGCCUGAGAGGGUGACCGGCCACACUGGGACUGAGACACGGCCCAGACUCCUACGGGAGGCAGCAGUACGGAAUCUUCCGCAAUGGGCGAAAGCCUGACGGAGCGACGCCGCGUGAGCGAAGAAGGCCUUCGGGUCGUAAAGCUCUGUUGUGAGGGACGAAGGAGCGCCGUUUGAAGAAGGCGGCGCGGUGACGGUACCUCACGAGGAAGCCCCGGCUAACUACGUG